This 253-nucleotide ribosomal RNA is filed under the name uncultured bacterium. RNAcentral describes it as "partial 16S ribosomal RNA". It matches the Rfam family "Bacterial small subunit ribosomal RNA", at positions 524 to 776 of the family's 1533-position model. The record is from RNAcentral.
UACGGGGGGGGCAAGCGUUGUUCGGAAUUACUGGGCGUAAAGGGCUCGUAGGUGGCCAACUAAGUCGGACGUGAAAUCCCCAGGCUCAACCUGGGAACUGCGUCCGAUACUGGAUGGCUUGAAUCCGGGAGAGGGAUGCAGAAUUCCAGGUGUAGCGGUGAAAUGCGUAGAUAUCUGGAGGAAUACCGGUGGCGAAGGCGGCAUCCUGGACCGGCAUUGACGCUGAGGAGCGAAAGCCAGGGGAGCAAACGGG